AGCUACAAACAGAUAUCCAAGCAUACAGAAGUACAGGAUCUGAGAAACAGUCCAGGAAGGAGAGAGCCGUGUGCCGAACUGCUGAGCCAAGACCAGAGUCAACCCUGAGCCCUCCUCACUACAAGGCAGACCCCACACCAUCGCUGGAGGAAGGGCGCCACGGAACAAAGGCAGCAGCCUUCCAAGAUGAAUUACAGUAGAGGAAACGGAAGUACAACAUUAGAAACUGGAGUGGAGGCCCUGUCCAGGAGUCUUGUCUAGAACCAGACGUUUCCAGAUCUCCAGCCUGCCCUUUUGUGAUGGGAAUGCAGAGGAGGAAAACUAGAGUGGCAGGUUGCUGUCUUGGAGGCACUACAGGUGGCAGAGCAGAACUGAAGAGCUUUCUUUUGUUUUUCAUAAGAAAUCAUCAAAGGUGAGGAUGAAAAAAUUAUUUUUGUGGAAUUGACUGUGUGAAACGUUUUUUUGUUUUGAGUGUUUG
This 478-nucleotide long non-coding RNA is filed under the name Struthio camelus australis. Its description in RNAcentral is "lncRNA (ENSSCUG00000005016.1)". The record is from RNAcentral. Lineage: Eukaryota; Metazoa; Chordata; Aves; Struthioniformes; Struthionidae.